Molecule: ribosomal RNA, 462 nt
Filed under: uncultured bacterium
Lineage: Bacteria
Description: partial 16S ribosomal RNA
Rfam family: Bacterial small subunit ribosomal RNA
Source: RNAcentral
GAUGAACGCUGACAGAAUGCUUAACACAUGCAAGUCUUUGGCGAAGCUGUGCUUGCACAGCCUAGCCAAGGCGGACGGGUGAGUAACGCGUAAGGAACUUGCCCUGCAGUCAGGGAUAACAGACGGAAACGACUGAUAAGACCUGGUAAAGUCAGGCGGACUCAUGUCCAGCCUGAUGAAAAGAGAUGCUGCAGGAGAGCCUUGCGUCCUAUUAGCUUGUUGGUGGGGUAACGGCCCACCAAGGCGAUGAUAGGUAGCCGGCCUGAGAGGGUGGACGGCCACAAGGGGACUGAGAUACGGCCCUUACUCCUACGGGAGGCAGCAGUGGGGAAUAUUGGACAAUGGGGGCAACCCUGAUCCAGCAAUUCGGUGUGCACGAUGAAGGUUUUCGGAUUGUAAAGUGCUUUCAGCAGGGAAGAAAAAAUGACGGUACCUGCAGAAGAAGCGACGGCUAAAUACGUG